Molecule: non-coding RNA, 90 nt
Organism: Cercophora scortea
Lineage: Eukaryota; Fungi; Ascomycota; Sordariomycetes; Sordariales; Lasiosphaeriaceae
Source: the annotation of a GenBank genome assembly
GCGACCUUAGCUCAUCCGGGAGAGCGUCAGACUGGAGUCCAAACUUCAUUAUCUAUCUGAAGGUAGUGUGUUCGAUCUACACAGGUCGCA